UUACUGGGCGUAAAGCGCGCGUAGGUGGUUUUGUCAGUCAGAUGUGAAAGCCCAGGGCUCAACCUUGGAACUGCACCUGAUACUGCAAGACUAGAGUACAAUAGAGGGGAGUGGAAUUUCCGGUGUAGCGGUGAAAUUCGUAGAUAUUCGGAGGAACACCAGUGGCGAAGGCGGCUCACUGGCUCGAUACUGACGCUGAGGUGCGAAAGUGUGGGGAGCAAACAGGAUUAGAUACCCUGGUAGUCCACACCGUAAACGAUGAAUGCCAGUCGUCGGGUAGCAUGCUGCUCGGUGACACACCUAACGGAUUAAGCAUUCCGCCUGGGGAGUACGGUCGCAAGAUUAAAACUCAAAGGAAUUGACGGGGGCCCGCACAAGCGGUGGGGCAUGUGGUUUAAUUCGAAGCAACGCGCAGAACCUUACCAACCCUUGACAUCCUAGGACCGCCAGAGAGAUUUGGCUUUCACUUCGGUGACCUAGUGACAGGUGCUGCAUGGCU
Molecule: ribosomal RNA, 499 nt
Filed under: uncultured Paracoccaceae bacterium
Lineage: Bacteria; Pseudomonadati; Pseudomonadota; Alphaproteobacteria; Rhodobacterales; Paracoccaceae
Description: bacterial SSU rRNA
Rfam family: Bacterial small subunit ribosomal RNA
Source: RNAcentral